RNAcentral lists this ribosomal RNA (510 nucleotides) under Chrysolina americana. Its description in RNAcentral is "16S ribosomal RNA". The record is from RNAcentral. Lineage: Eukaryota; Metazoa; Arthropoda; Insecta; Coleoptera; Chrysomelidae.
UGUAAAAUUUUAAAGGUCGAACAGACCCAAUAUUUUAGCUUCUACACCAAAAAUAAAUUUUAAUCCAACAUCGAGGUCGCAAUCUUUUUUUUAAAUAUGAACUUUUAAAAAAAAUUACGCUGUUAUCCCUAAGGUAAUUUUAUCUUAUAAUCAAAAAUAAUGGAUCAUUUUUUCAUAAAUAAAUGUUUUUAAUUAAAAAAAGUUAAUUAAAUUUUUCAAUCACCCCAACUAAAUUAAAUAAUAAAAUAAAUAAUUAAAUACUAAAAUAUAACUUUUAUAUAAUAAUAAAAUUCUAUAGGGUCUUCUCGUCUUUUAAAUAUAUUUAAGCUUUUUAACUUAAAAAUAAAAUUCUAAUAAAAUUUAAUAGAGACAGUCAUUUUCUUAUCCAACCUUUCAUUCCAGUUUUUAAUUAAAAAACUAUUGAUUAUGCUACCUUAGCAUGGUCAAAAUACCACGGCCAUUUAAAAAUUUCAGUGGGCAGGCUAGACCUUAAAUUAUAACCAAAAAGCC